UAGGGAAUCUUCCACAAUGGACGCAAGUCUGAUGGAGCAACGCCGCGUGAGUGAAGAAGGUCUUCGGAUCGUAAAGCUCUGUUGUUGGUGAAGAAGGAUAGAGGCAGUAACUGGUCUUUAUUUGACGGUAAUCAACCAGAAAGUCACGGCUAACUACGUGCCAGCAGCCGCGGUAAUACGUAGGUGGCAAGCGUUGUCCGGAUUUAUUGGGCGUAAAGCGAGCGCAGACGGAAUGAUAAGUCUGAUGUGAAAGCCCACGGCUCAACCGUGGAACUGCAUCGGAAACUGUCAUUCUUGAGUGCAGAAGAGGAGAGUGGAACUCCAUGUGUAGCGGUGGAAUGCGUAGAUAUAUGGAAGAACACCAGUGGCGAAGGCGGCUCUCUGGUCUGCAACUGACGCUGAGGCUCGAAAGCAUGGGUAGCGAACAGGAUUAGAUACCCUGGUAGUCCAUGCCGUAAACGAUGAGCGCUAGGUGUUGGGGGACUUUCCGGUCCUCAGUGCCGCAGCAAACGCAUUAAGCGCUCCGCCUGGGGAGUACGACCGCAAGGUUGAAAC
This 555-nucleotide ribosomal RNA is filed under the name uncultured bacterium. RNAcentral describes it as "partial 16S ribosomal RNA". It matches the Rfam family "Bacterial small subunit ribosomal RNA", at positions 355 to 900 of the family's 1533-position model. The record is from RNAcentral.